Molecule: ribosomal RNA, 482 nt
Filed under: uncultured bacterium
Lineage: Bacteria
Description: partial 16S ribosomal RNA
Rfam family: Bacterial small subunit ribosomal RNA
Source: RNAcentral
GACGAACGCUGGCGGCGUGCUUAACACAUGCAAGUCGAACGAUGAAGCCCAGCUUGCUGGGUGGAUUAGUGGCGAACGGGUGAGUAACACGUGGGCAACCUGCCCCAAACUCUGGGAUAACUCCUCGAAAGAGGUGCUAAUACCGGAUACGAACUAGACAGACAUCUGUACUAGUUGGAAAGUUUUUCGGUUUGGGAUGGGCCCGCGGCCUAUCAGCUUGUUGGUGAGGUAACGGCUCACCAAGGCUACGACGGGUAACCGGCCUGAGAGGGCGACCGGUCACACUGGGACUGAGACACGGCCCAGACUCCUACGGGAGGCAGCAGUGGGGAAUAUUGCACAAUGGGCGAAAGCCUGACGCAGCGACGCCGCGUGAGGGAUGAAGGUCUUCGGAUCGUAAACCUCUUUCAGUAGGGACGAAGCGAAAGUGACGGUACCUAAAGAAGAAGCACCGGCUAACUACGUGCCAGCCGCCGCGGUAA